Molecule: transfer RNA, 72 nt
Filed under: Bos taurus (domestic cattle)
Lineage: Eukaryota; Metazoa; Chordata; Mammalia; Artiodactyla; Bovidae
Also listed under: 3 other names
Rfam family: tRNA
About the family: Transfer RNA (tRNA) molecules are approximately 80 nucleotides in length. Their secondary structure includes four short double-helical elements and three loops (D, anti-codon, and T loops).
Source: Rfam by way of RNAcentral
UCCCUGGUGGUCCAGUGGUUAAGACUUUGCCUUCCAAUGCAGGUAGUCCAGGUUCAAUACCUGGUCAGGGAG